RNAcentral lists this ribosomal RNA (542 nucleotides) under Pestalotiopsis sp. ZH72. RNAcentral's name for it is "eukaryotic LSU rRNA". The stretch from base 212 to 365 matches the Rfam family "5.8S ribosomal RNA". Lineage: Eukaryota; Fungi; Ascomycota; Sordariomycetes; Amphisphaeriales; Sporocadaceae. The record is from RNAcentral.
UCUUUCUCAGUCAGAGGAAGUAAAAGUAAGUACAAGCUAUGUGUUGGUGAACCAGCGGAGGGAUCGAUCUUGAGUUUUUUAAACUCUCACAACAUGUGAAGUUCAUUUCUGUUGCCUCCUCAGAAGUUAUAGGUCUUCCCGGUAAAACGCCGGUGGACCAUUAAGGUCCCGUUAUUUUAGGUAAUAUGAGUGUCUUAUGAGAAUAAGUCAAAACAAUUAACAACGGAUAUCAAGGGUUUUGCAUGGUUGAAGAUCGCAGAAGAAUGCAGUAAAUAAUGAUAAGUAAAGAAAUCAGUGAAUCAUAGAAUAUCAGAGAACACAUUGCGCCCAUUAGUAUUCGCCAGGGCAUGCCUGUUCGAGCCUCAUUUCAACCCAUAAGCCCCUCAAGCACAGGGAAUUGUUGGGACCCAGGAGUUUCGUUUUCCCAAAACAAAUGCGGAUUUGUAGUGUCCUUUCAGAGUAGUGAAUUAUUUCUCGCUUUUGUUAGGUGCUAUAACUGCCAGCCGGUAAACCCCCAAUUCUGAAGGUGACCUCGGAUCAGG